Molecule: long non-coding RNA, 228 nt
Filed under: Brassica rapa (field mustard)
Lineage: Eukaryota; Viridiplantae; Streptophyta; Magnoliopsida; Brassicales; Brassicaceae
Description: long non-coding RNA (BRAP_LNC008377)
Source: RNAcentral
AGAAGAUCGGGCUCGCCCUAAUAUUAUGAGGCGUCCGACGGAAACUAUCCGUCGGAAUUUCCUUGGAAAUAUUUUAUAUUUCCGUCGGAAUUUCCUCGGAAAUCUUUAAUUCAAUUUUCGCGAAAUAUUUGGCGGCUUGGUUUACCCGGUUAAAUGAAAAUAUUCCGAGGAACUAGGAUUCCUCGGAAUACCCUCGGUAAUUACCGAGGAAAUUCUGAGGAACCAGGG